Molecule: ribosomal RNA, 497 nt
Filed under: uncultured bacterium
Lineage: Bacteria
Description: partial 16S ribosomal RNA
Rfam family: Bacterial small subunit ribosomal RNA
Source: RNAcentral
GAUGAACGCUGGCGGCGUGCCUAAUACAUGCAAGUCGAGCGAACGGACGAGAAUCUUGCUUUUCUGAUGUUAGCGGCGGACGGGUGAGUAACACGUGGAUAACCUACCUAUAAGACUGGGAUAACUUCGGGAAACCGGAGCUAAUACCGGAUAAUAUUUUGAACCGCAUGGUUCAAAAGUGAAAGACGGUCUUGCUGUCACUUAUAGAUGGAUCCGCGCUGCAUUAGCUAGUUGGUAAGGUAACGGCUUACCAAGGCAACGAUGCAUAGCCGACCUGAGAGGGUGAUCGGCCACACUGGAACUGAGACACGGUCCAGACUCCUACGGGAGGCAGCAGUAGGGAAUCUUCCGCAAUGGGCGAAAGCCUGACGGAGCAACGCCGCGUGAGUGAUGAAGGUCUUCGGAUCGUAAAACUCUGUUAUUAGGGAAGAACAUAUGUGUAAGUAACUGUGCACAUCUUGACGGUACCUAAUCAGAAAGCCACGGCUAACUACGUG